AUACAAAACCGUACACGGCACAGUUCAUUCAGUGUUUCGACUUCGUACGGAACGGAUCGAAAGACGUAAACCAUCGUUCUGAAAUACAAAUUAACGACAUAAGAAAAUUGUUGAGCUGAUGAUAACGGAAUUAAAGAUGUAUUUUCUCGGUGCGAAAGAAAUGGAACAACAAAAGUUGACAAGGGUAGUUUUCGUUACGAAAUUUUUCUCGUCGGAGGCGACGUUCGCAGCGACCUACAUUCCCGAACGCCAAUAAAUAUCUCGAAUUAACAGGAGAUCUCGCAGAUGGAAGAAUAGUACGCGACAGUAAUUAUCACCAGGAAUUUUAAUUAAAAAUCGUAAUUUUUCGGCCGACAAGGAUGAUAAAUGCCGUUCCUCGUCGAUCGUAAUUCUCGUUCCAACGUUUCAUACUCGGAAUAAAAAGUAUAAAGAGAAAUAAUUUUGGACCAUUUGGACCAAAAAGAGAAGA
Long non-coding RNA from Apis mellifera (honey bee), 469 nucleotides. RefSeq lists it as uncharacterized. Lineage: Eukaryota; Metazoa; Arthropoda; Insecta; Hymenoptera; Apidae. The transcript has 3 exons. The record is from RefSeq and is a predicted model, not a curated record.